UAUUCAUUUAUUUAAUGAAACGUUAUUGAAAGAGUUUGAAGCUUACUUGACAACACAUUUCAUUCAUAGCGUAUAAAAACGAUAUAGAUACUGGACAUAUUGGACAACAACUUUCCUUCUUCUUUAUAUUUUUUUUAUUUUGUUAAAUUAUUGAGUGUGAAGCUUACUGGACAUCUUUCACCAUCGCAAUUCUGAUAAAUUAUAUAUAUUUUUUAAAAUAUAAAAUACCACAAUGUAUAAACAGAGCAUUGUUAAUUGUGUCAACGUAUUUCUUCUCUUUAACUCAUUAUCAUGAAAUAUUUUGGAGGUAGAAAUCAAAUUUGGAAAAUAUCAAAAAUGACAUUUUCAGCCAUCCAUGGUCUUGACUACUUGUGAAAUGCAACAAAUUAUCAUCAGGUUGUGAUUAUUCUGGUUUUUUAGGCAGCAGGCGAACAUUUGUUUCUAUAGUUUAACCAUCAUGAAAUGUUUUACAGGGUAAAGUACAGAUAAGUACUGAAAAUACCCAAUGUCUAAAACUCUGGAUUGUAUAUUUUUGCAGCAGUCUGGAAGUCCUGAUGUUACACACACUGUAUAAUUUGGCACAAACUAUAUUGGUGUUUUCCUGGUCAGUGACUCAGCCCUGUUCCUGAACCACAUAAAAUAAGUUGGUGGUUGUAGAUUUAAAACCAUUUGAAUAUCUCUUUUCACUUGUUUGGAACAAUGUCCAUGCUGAAGAGAUCAGUGUUUGUGGGUUUUGUCCUGUUUGUAUUGGUUCCUCUGAUCCAUGCUGGCUGCUGGUCACAGAAAUUGAGAUUAGGUA
Molecule: long non-coding RNA, 799 nt
Organism: Tachysurus fulvidraco (yellow catfish)
Lineage: Eukaryota; Metazoa; Chordata; Actinopteri; Siluriformes; Bagridae
Exons: 2
Source: RefSeq, a predicted model, not a curated record